This 75-nucleotide transfer RNA is filed under the name Prevotella melaninogenica. RNAcentral describes it as "tRNA-Pro". It matches the Rfam family "tRNA". From Rfam's summary of the family: Transfer RNA (tRNA) molecules are approximately 80 nucleotides in length. Lineage: Bacteria; Pseudomonadati; Bacteroidota; Bacteroidia; Bacteroidales; Prevotellaceae. The record is from RNAcentral.
CGGGGUGUAGCGCAGCUCGGUAGCGCAUCUGGUUUGGGAUCAGGCGGUCGCAGGUUCGAAUCCUGUCACCCCGAC